Molecule: long non-coding RNA, 3084 nt
Filed under: Varroa destructor (honeybee mite)
Lineage: Eukaryota; Metazoa; Arthropoda; Arachnida; Mesostigmata; Varroidae
Description: uncharacterized LOC111250358
Source: RNAcentral
AAGGGCCUGAAUACUAUAUUCGGUUACAUUGGCUACAACGAAGCACCUCGGGGUAACAACAGCACGAUGCGAGCACCAUUGGCAUUGCCGAACUAGGGCACUUUUAGUGUCCGGCAAAUAAACGACUAGCCAACCGAGAGAAUAUAUUGUACGCACAUACGAACCCCGCCUUCCGUUCCGUACAGAAGAUCUUACUCACGAUACAACCACAGAGUUCUGAUCCGCUUAGACUCAGCGGAACGCUUUACAUUCGAAGGGACGUCUCGCAGGAACUUCAAACUUGCAUAGAUUAUGUAAGCGGCACACCCAGGAUAUUAUCGUUGUCGCAAAUCGCUAUGACUGCAUGUGAGCACUUAAAGGCGGAUGUCAGCAAGAGAAAUAAGGAGAAACAUUGAGCUGAAAAGGUCUGUUUGCAUGAUGACUCGUUGGAACAGGAGUCUAGAACACAAAGUACGGGCCAUGCCAGCCAGUAACGGAAACAUCUCACCAACGGGGAAACCGACCCCCGGCGGUGACGCCCCAGCAUCAGGACGUCCUUCCGUUCUACUCAGUUAAUGGAGGUAUUCGCUUUUCAGCGGCGAAAGCAGACACAAUGCAUAUUACGAUCGUGCCUUCAUUGCUACUAUAGGGAACCCUCGACGACCAGCUUUCGGACCGAUGUCUUCUCAGAUCUCCUUACAGUGAUGCGUAUUUUCUCCAUUACAAGACGUGUCUUCUUCGCUGUUCAAUUCUGACUUGCAUUACCUCCCUCCCCCAUAGCUUGAGAAAAAAAAGUCACUACUAUAGCUCGUGGCUCUGUUCUGGAGAUGUUGUUUAAUCGCCACCAAGUACUUGUCGAAUCAUUGUACUAACUCAGUAGGGAAUUAUGUCAAAAAACCACUGGUGUCAAAGACACGAAUUUUUCGACUAUCUUUAAUCAUCUGCCGUUUAUUUGAGUCUGCUUUAUUGUUUUUCUCGGUCAAUUACAAGACAAAAUGGCUUUCUUCCAGAGGAAAAAUAAUGAACAAUAGACGCCAUUAGUUUUUUCUUAAAAAUGCAUACACCUAUUUUCUCGAAUCAUACACACUACUUUGUAUCAUGCCUUAUAUACUCUGUAGACGGUUUUGGGCUCGUGACGAAUAUUCUGGUGCACGGCGGUUGAAAGGGGGUCUUUUGGAACCAUGUGCUGGUCGUGUCCAGAAGAGAAACAUAGAAAUAUUGUUAUGACGUUAUAACGAAUCCUUUGGAAGACAGAUACGCCAAUCUUUCAAUCAUUACCUGACGUCGCAGCCUAUAACGAAAAGGUUGCGAUUUUCUAGAGCUGUCGUUGAAAAGGUCGCCAUAAUGGAGAUCUAUACUAAUUCACUGUUUCACUAACACUUUGUGGCUCUUCGACGUGAAAUCUGCAAUACACCAUGUGCAUAAAAUCCUAUGAAUCGGGCAAGAAGCAGGAGAGAAUACUUGUAUUACUAUUGAUAAAUGAAGUUUAUACCUGGUAAUUAUUCCUAGAGUGCAACUAACGGCAUGAAAGGAUUGCGUCUUUCUUAGUUGUUCGAAAGCUGUUGAAGAAGCUCAUAGAGCUGUAUACUUAGUAACUUCGUAAACAUACCGGUUCCUAAUCAUUCAGUUGGAGCCGAGAACUUCAACGAUUGUUGUCAUUAAUAAAAAUGGGAAAAUUAGCAAAUGACAGGUAAUGCGUAUGCCAGAUAGAUGAUACAUUAUAUGAGUCUUAAUUCACACCAGGGCUCAAAUAAACUAAACCUUAGCUUUUGGUUUCGCGGUCAGUUCUAUAAGCGGGAGAUCUCGCCGCUUGAAUCACCUACGAUUCAGUACAUAGGUUUUACAUCAUGGAAAAAUAGCGGCCAUUUUUUGUUAAGACCCAAAUGGGGUGAAAUAGCCCAAAUAUAGUUUUAAACUUACAAGCAUAUUAUCAAAUUUCUUUGAAUGGUCUAAGAAUUAUAGUGGCUUUGAUUUAUCCUCAAUGCGAUAUCCAUGAGGCUAUGCCAUUAAAUAAUCAUAAAGCGCAUCUGAACGGAUUGCAAUUCCUAAGAAGAUUAUACUUACAAAUCCUUAACAUUUUGCCCGUGUGAUAGCCAUUGUUUUGUGGGAGAUGUGGUAGGAGAUAUGAAUGAAAGAAAAAGCAAGUAGUUUAACUGGACGGCAUCGGUCGUUAAGUGAUUGUUUCCCCUCAAGAUUGUCCUGGCAUAAUUUAGAAAAUAUAAUUUUGCCGCGAAUAUUAUUUAAUUAUUGAUUGGUCUAGAUUGUUGCACAUGGUUCACAGCAGCCAAUAAAGACGGUAGACCUACUCGAAAACUGAAAAGUCAAUGUUCGAAGUCAGACUCGUUUGCAUAUCCUCUCAUACCUCACAAGGUUCGGUCACGCCAACCUGUGUCACCGCGGUGACUUUGACCGCUUCAUCUCCAAAUGCCCAUCAAAGACACCAACCAUUCUUUUUCACCUGUAAUUAGGAUUCACUUCAGAAACUUGGAAAGGCUAUGUAUGUUAAUCGACGAAUUAUCUAAUAUAAUAUACUAUACAGUUCUCCACUAGAUCUCCGAAGGCUGAAAGCAUAUUUAAGUUUCAUAAGAGCAAACUAGCUAUAGCAACCAAUACAUCCUCUGCCUGUCUAGGGCUUCCUAGGCUGCGACCAUUCAUGCAGCCUUGAUAGGCACGUACUAUAGGAGACCCACAUAAAUUAGCUUAUUAUUUGUGAAAUGUCAUCAUAUCCCGCGGCUGUCUUUAGACUCGCUGUGCUCAGCUUCGAUCCGUAACUGACAAGUGUGCGUUUACUUCAUGAUGUUAUUAAAUAAUGUAUAUUACAAACAUUGCCUCGGCACCCUUCCGCGAGUUCCCAGCUUUACGUUCUACCUUAUACGUGGCAAAGUCAACUGCGGUAACUCCGCCCUAAAGUAAACUUGGUGCACUUCUUUACUCACAAGAAGAUAAGCGACCAUUAUUCAACUGGCAUAAAAAUGGCCGCCGUUCAUAUACUUACGAAAGAAAAUUGAUUUUGCUGCACAAGCCUUAUACUGUUAUUUUGGCCCACACGUUUGAUUAUAGUUGGUCGAAAUGGGAAGUAAAAACAGGUGGACAUUCCUUGGGCGA